Molecule: long non-coding RNA, 451 nt
Organism: Gallus gallus (chicken)
Lineage: Eukaryota; Metazoa; Chordata; Aves; Galliformes; Phasianidae
Exons: 2
Source: RefSeq, a predicted model, not a curated record
AGGGUGCUCAGAACCCUAUCCAGCCUGCCCUUGCAUGCUUCAAGGAAGGGGGAAUCCACAACCUCACUGGGCAACCUGUUUCAGUGUCUCAUCACCCUCACACAUAAUGUGAGACAAAUUUACACAAGAUGAGAAACCACACAAGAUGAGAACAUCUACGUGUUCAAAAUGCAGACUUCUAGCCUGAUACAGUGAGGAGGGAAGUCUGUAACUGAAAAUUAAUUCAUACUGGAAAGCGCAGUCAAUAGACAAUUACUAAGAUACAGCUUGUGUUUAUUGCUUGAGGAAUUUUACACAAGAUUUAUAACAUCUAAAAGCAAUUACCUUUACAUGUAAAGAACAGUCUAAAAAGAUGAAACUUAAUUAAUCUUGAAGCCUUCAAACAUUCUCUAUCUCCUAUAAAUAAUCAUCAACCAGACAGCAAUAAAUAAAUAAAUAAAGCACGAAUGUC